CCUACGGGUGGCAGCAGUGAGGAAUAUUGGUCAAUGGACGAGAGUCUGAACCAGCCAAGUAGCGUGAAGGAUGACUGCCCUAUGGGUUGUAAACUUCUUUUAUAUGGGAAUAAAAUGUUCCACGUGUGGGAUUUUGUAUGUACCAUAUGAAUAAGGAUCGGCUAACUCCGUGCCAGCAGCCGCGGUAAUACGGAGGAUCCGAGCGUUAUCCGGAUUUAUUGGGUUUAAAGGGAGCGUAGGUGGAUUGUUAAGUCAGUUGUGAAAGUUUGCGGCUCAACCGUAAAAUUGCAGUUGAAACUGGCAGUCUUGAGUACAGUAGAGGUGGGCGGAAUUCGUGGUGAAGCGGUGAAAUGCUUAGAUAUCACGAAGAACUCCGAGUGCGAAGGCAGUUCACUGGACUGCAACUGACACUGAGGCUCGAAAGUGUGGGUAUCAAACAGGAUUAGAUACCCUGGUAGUC
This 460-nucleotide ribosomal RNA is filed under the name uncultured bacterium. Its description in RNAcentral is "partial 16S ribosomal RNA". It matches the Rfam family "Bacterial small subunit ribosomal RNA", at positions 338 to 795 of the family's 1533-position model. The record is from RNAcentral.